This 837-nucleotide ribosomal RNA is filed under the name Bacillus sp. (in: firmicutes). RNAcentral's name for it is "bacterial SSU rRNA". It matches the Rfam family "Bacterial small subunit ribosomal RNA", at positions 609 to 1442 of the family's 1533-position model. The record is from RNAcentral. Lineage: Bacteria; Bacillati; Bacillota; Bacilli; Caryophanales; Bacillaceae.
UCAACCGGGGAGGGUCAUUGGAAACUGGGAGACUUGAGUGCAGAAGAGGAAAGUGGAAUUCCAUGUGUAGCGGUGAAAUGCGUAGAGAUAUGGAGGAACACCAGUGGCGAAGGCGACUUUCACGUGGGUAACCUGCCCAUAAGACUGGGAUAACUCCGGGAAACCGGGGCUAAUACCGGAUGGUAGUUCACGCCGUAAACGAUGAGUGCUAAGUGUUAGAGGGUUUCCGCCCUUUAGUGCUGAAGUUAACGCAUUAAGCACUCCGCCUGGGGAGUACGGCCGCAAGGCUGAAACUCAAAGGAAUUGACGGGUGGCCCGCACAAGCGGUGGAGCAUGUGGUUUAAUUUGAAGCAACGCGAAGAACCUUACCAGGUCUUGACAUCCUUUGAAAACCCUCAGAGAUAGGGCUUCUCCUUCGGGAGCAGAGUGACAGGUGGUGCAUGGUUGUCGUCAGCUCGUGUCGUGAGAUGUUGGGUUAAGUCCCGCAACGAGCGCAACCCUUGAUUUUAGUUGCCAUCAUUAAGUUGGGCACUUUAAGGUGACUGCCGGUGACAAACCGGAGGAAGGUGGGGAUGACGUCAAAUCAUCAUGCCCCUUAUAGCCACGGCUAACUACGUGCCAGCAGCCGCGGUAAUACGUAGGUGGCAAGCGUUAUCCGGAGCUAAUCUCAUAAAACCGUUCUCAGUUCGGAUUGUAGGCUGCAACUCGCCUACAUGAAGCUGGAAUCGCUAGUAAUCGCGGAUCAGCAUGCCGACGGUGAAUACGUUCCCGGGCCUUGUACACACCGCCCGUCACACCACGAGAGUUUGUAACACCCGAAGUCGGUGGGGUAACCUU